This 216-nucleotide long non-coding RNA is filed under the name Panax ginseng (ginseng). Its description in RNAcentral is "long non-coding RNA (PGIN_LNC001219)". The record is from RNAcentral. Lineage: Eukaryota; Viridiplantae; Streptophyta; Magnoliopsida; Apiales; Araliaceae.
AAAUGUGGAUUAUGAUAUAUGAAAACUGUAUUUCGGAAAGAUACGAAUCCAACAAAAUUGACGGAUCAUUAAUUGGAGUUACAGAUUUCGUUUUAUUUAAGUUUUGGUGAAGGACUCCAAAACUGCCAAAGUGCAAAAAGUUUCUGGCCAAAAUUUUCCGAGGGCUGUUUUGGACAUUUAGUUAAUGAGAAAAAUUACAGGCUUUUGGGAAAUGAA